GGAUUGUGGCUCAGUGGUAGAGUGCUUGCCUAGCACGUGUGAGGCACUGAGUUCAAUUCUCAGCACCA
This 68-nucleotide transfer RNA is filed under the name Marmota monax (woodchuck). RNAcentral's name for it is "tRNA.Ala". The stretch from base 5 to 65 matches the Rfam family "tRNA", at positions 6 to 65 of the family's 71-position model. From Rfam's summary of the family: Transfer RNA (tRNA) molecules are approximately 80 nucleotides in length. Lineage: Eukaryota; Metazoa; Chordata; Mammalia; Rodentia; Sciuridae. The record is from RNAcentral.